This 56-nucleotide ribosomal RNA is filed under the name Fusarium solani. Its description in RNAcentral is "partial 28S ribosomal RNA". Lineage: Eukaryota; Fungi; Ascomycota; Sordariomycetes; Hypocreales; Nectriaceae. The record is from RNAcentral.
AACUCUUCUGAAGUUGACCUCGAAUCAGGUAGGAAUACCCGCUGAACUUAAGCAUA